Molecule: unclassified non-coding RNA, 373 nt
Filed under: soil metagenome
Description: partial contains 5.8S ribosomal RNA, internal transcribed spacer 2, and large subunit ribosomal RNA
Rfam family: 5.8S ribosomal RNA (bases 1-121)
Source: RNAcentral
GAUGAAGAACGUAGUGAAAUGCGAUAAGUAAUGCGAAUUGCAGAAUUCCAGUGAGUCAUCGAAUCUUUGAACGCACAUUGCGCCCUUUGGUAUUCCGAAGGGCAUGCCUGUUCGAGCGUCAUUAUCACCCCUCAAGCCCUCGGCUUGGUGUUGGACGGUUUGGUGGAGGCCCCCUCGGGGGCUCCUGCCCCUCCCAAAGACAAUGACGGCGGCCUCGUUGGACACCCGGUACACUGAGUUCUUCACGGGACACGUAUCGGACACAUGGGUUUACGGGACACGGUCUGCCUCCCCUCAGGGAGAAUCUUUCUAAGGUUGACCUCGGAUCAGGUAGGGAUACCCGCUGAACUUAAGCAUAUCAAUAAGCGGAGGA